UGGUACUCGAGUGGCGAACGGGUGAGUAACACGUGGGUGAUCUGCCUUGCACUCUGGGAUAAGCUUGGGAAACUGGGUCUAAUACCGGAUAGGAACCGUCUUUAGUGUGGUGGUUGGAAAGUUUUUUCGGUGCAAGAUGAGCUCGCGGCCUAUCAGCUUGUUGGUGGGGUAAUGGCCUACCAAGGCGUCGACGGGUAGCCGGCCUGAGAGGGUGUACGGCCACAUUGGGACUGAGAUACGGCCCAG
This 246-nucleotide ribosomal RNA is filed under the name uncultured Actinomycetales bacterium. RNAcentral describes it as "partial 16S ribosomal RNA". It matches the Rfam family "Bacterial small subunit ribosomal RNA", at positions 85 to 334 of the family's 1533-position model. Lineage: Bacteria; Bacillati; Actinomycetota; Actinomycetes; Actinomycetales. The record is from RNAcentral.